AGUGAACGCUGGCGGUAGGCCUAACACAUGCAAGUCGAACGGCAGCACAGUAAGCUCUUGCUCUUACGGGUGGCGAGUGGCGGACGGGUGAGGAAUACAUCGGAAUCUACUUUUUCGUGGGGGAUAACUUAGGGAAACUUACGCUAAUACCGCAUACGACCUACGGGUGAAAGCAGGGGAUCUUCAGACCUUGCGCGAUUGAAUGAGCCGAUGUCGGAUUAGUUAGUUGGCGGGGUAAAGGCCCACCAAGGCGACGAUCCGUAGCUGGUCUGAGAGGAUGAUCAGCCACACUGGAACUGAGACACGGUCCAGACUCCUACGGGGGGCAGCAGUGGGGAAUAUUGGACAAUGGGCGCAAGCCUGAUCCAGCCAUACCGCGUGGGUGAAGAAGGCCUUGGGGUUGUAAAGCCCUUUUGUUGGGAAAGAAAAGCAGCAGGUUAAUACCCCGCUGUUCUGACGGUACCCAAAGAAUAAGCACCGGCUAACUUCGUG
Molecule: ribosomal RNA, 492 nt
Filed under: uncultured bacterium
Lineage: Bacteria
Description: partial 16S ribosomal RNA
Rfam family: Bacterial small subunit ribosomal RNA
Source: RNAcentral